Molecule: non-coding RNA, 396 nt
Organism: Chondrus crispus (carragheen)
Lineage: Eukaryota; Rhodophyta; Florideophyceae; Gigartinales; Gigartinaceae
Source: the annotation of a RefSeq genome assembly
GUAUAAUGUUACUCAAUUAUUAUUUAAAGGGGCUGUUUGGUUUCUACAUAUAACUCUGUAUGUUGAAGUUGUAAAGGAUGAAGAUAAGCUAAACUUCAUUAAUCCUAGCUUAAUUACAAAUGCAAAACAUCAAAUUCUUCCUUUUUCUAAAAACCUUGUGUUAGUUUAGCUUUUUAUUUGAUUCGUUAUUUUAAUAUAAGGAAUAUUUAGAAUAUCAGUUUAUAAUUACUCUCUAUUUCUUGAUAUUUUUCUUUGAGAUGCUCUUAAGUAAAUUAUUAAUUCUUAAGCUAAGUUACAAUUAUUAUAUAUUGAUUUUCCUUUGUGCUUCAUUAUUGUAAGCAGGCUUUGCGUACUGUUUUAAUAUGGACGUGGGUUCGAUUCCCACCAGUUCCAAUA